CCUGGAGACACUUUAUCUUUUAUGAACUAAAAAUGCUAUACUAUGGAAGUAAUCAGUAAAUGUUUUCCCAGUUAUCUGAAGGAGCUUCAAGCCUUGUCCUGCACCAUCUACCUGUGAAUUACUUUCCUUUUGAAACACAUCUCACUGGUGUUACAAGAAAACACUUUAAACUCGUGGAGUCAUUCUCGCCAUAAAUAAAGAACAACAUAUGUUGUAUAGUCACACUCCAGUGUUUUAUAUUUUUCUUCAAGAAGAACCUUUAGCAAUUAGCUUGUCGUUGAAGUCCACAAUGUACACACACAGAGAACAGAAUGUUCUAGAUGGGGAGGGGACUUGUCAGUAGCUGAUCAAGGAUUUAUAUUUUUAAUCUUAAAUAUGAUUUAAUGCUCUGUGAAAAGAAUUAAGAAUCCCAUUUUACACUGAAGCAUGUUCUUAAUGUGCAUAUAAAAACCUCAGCAGUUUUAUUGACAGUUAUAAAUUCACAGCUGCUGUUGGUGAUUUUUUUUUAAAAAAAACCUGCUUCCAUUUCCCUAGUUCUUUGCAGACCAUUGUCAUAGUUUGCUAUUAGCUAAGGAAGAACCUUAUUUAGCAGAAAUGCAUUGGACUUCAAUUUCACUGUAUACAUCAGGAAGAAAAGAAAAUCAAUGUGAAGCCCAGACUCAGUCUGCUGAUGCCGGAGAUGACUAUCUAUAGAAUAUAGAAAGGAAACCAGGCUCAGAUUAUUUUUUUUCUUACCGUUUGGAUGCUAAAAAUGACAGAAGGAGGUUACUGCUAGUGGGAGUUGUUAUGACUAUUAUCUUCUGUUCAGAUUUGAGGUUAAGCCUGGAGACUGUCAGUGUGUGCAUCAAAUAUUUCAAGUACCUAGUAGUAAUUUCUAGUUAAUUGAUAGAAGGAUGACUAUUAAGAAACAAUAUAUGCAGUUGCAGUUUCACGUUUGCAUUGCACAUCCAUUGUGUGCAUGCAUCGAUGAUUCCCAUGUAUUCAGGGAUAUGUCUGUACGUAUAUAUAAAUCAUAUCUAUGUUUACGUAUGUAUGUAUACAUUUAUCUAACCUUCUGGUCUAUUUAUAUAUAAGAAUGGGGGUCUGAAUGACUCUAAAUUGUGAAUCCAUGAAAAGUAUAAAUAUCUGGUCAAAAAGAGGUGAAGAUAAUUUUUAUUUCUAAACAGGAUGUUUGAAAAACAUGACACCCAGCUUGCAGAGCUGGGGACUGUUGCAGCUUCACAAGUGGGGUCCCUGUCUUGUACAUUGCAAACACAACUGUAGCUACAGCAGCAGUGACCUAAAGCUGAUGAUAACUGAUUUGUGUGAAGAUUUGUGUGAUGCUGUUAAUUUCUGGUCUCAGUGUAGCUUCUGUUAAAUUUACUGUCACUAAGAGGUAUUCCUAUAAAUGAUGGCCUUAAGGCUGGCUGAAAAUAAGAAAGAGAUUUUGUGAUUUUUUUCUCAAAAUUCUUGUAUGUUUACUGCAAAAAAAAAAAAAAAAGUUUCAUUGAAUUCAA
Molecule: non-coding RNA, 1496 nt
Organism: Anas platyrhynchos (mallard)
Lineage: Eukaryota; Metazoa; Chordata; Aves; Anseriformes; Anatidae
Source: RefSeq, a predicted model, not a curated record